RNAcentral lists this ribosomal RNA (430 nucleotides) under uncultured Bacillus sp. RNAcentral's name for it is "bacterial SSU rRNA". It matches the Rfam family "Bacterial small subunit ribosomal RNA", at positions 931 to 1367 of the family's 1533-position model. The record is from RNAcentral. Lineage: Bacteria; Bacillati; Bacillota; Bacilli; Caryophanales; Bacillaceae.
GGCCGGGCGCGCGCACGGGGGGAACGCGAAGAACCUUACCAGGUCUUGACAUCCUCUGAAAACUCUAGAGAUAGAGCUUCUCCUUCGGGAGCAGAGUGACAGGUGGUGCAUGGUUGUCGUCAGCUCGUGUCGUGAGAUGUUGGGUUAAGUCCCGCAACGAGCGCAACCCUUGAUCUUAGUUGCCAUCAUUAAGUUGGGCACUCUAAGGUGACUGCCGGUGACAAACCGGAGGAAGGUGGGGAUGACGUCAAAUCAUCAUGCCCCUUAUGACCUGGGCUACACACGUGCUACAAUGGACGGUACAAAGAGCUGCAAGACCGCGAGGUGGAGCUAAUCUCAUAAAAGCGUUCUCAGUUCGGAUUGUAGGCUGCAACUCGCCUACAUGAAGCUGGAAUCGCUAGUAAUCGCGGAUCAGCAUGCCGCGGUGAAU